Molecule: non-coding RNA, 397 nt
Organism: Salvia hispanica
Lineage: Eukaryota; Viridiplantae; Streptophyta; Magnoliopsida; Lamiales; Lamiaceae
Source: RefSeq, a predicted model, not a curated record
GAGGGGGAAAGGGAGAGAGAGAGGGACGCCGCAGCCUCGGCGGCGGACGGCGGCGCCGGAAGGGUAGCGACGGCGGCAUCAGGUAGUGAGGGGGAGGAGCUUCUCUCACAUCAAAUUAAGGUUGAGCAGCGAAGUGGUGGAGGAAGUGCUAUUGAAACAAUACAUUUAAUUCAGUCAGAUUAGGACUCUCGGAGGUUCAUGUCUCCAUACAUGGAACCGCGUUCUUUUCCUUCCGCUGUGCAUCUUAAAAGACUCAAGUCUAUUUUGUUCAAAACUCUGGUAUUUGAAAACUUUUACAAACAAUUACUCGAGUUUUCAUAAGCGAGUAUCUUUUCCUCUAUGUAUCAGCACUUGAUUAGUCAUGUCUCCAACCAAUGUUUGAUUUUAUUUUCCCUUA